RNAcentral lists this ribosomal RNA (253 nucleotides) under uncultured bacterium. RNAcentral's name for it is "partial 16S ribosomal RNA". It matches the Rfam family "Bacterial small subunit ribosomal RNA", at positions 524 to 776 of the family's 1533-position model. The record is from RNAcentral.
UACGGGGGGGGCAAGCGUUGUUCGGAAUUACUGGGCGUAAAGGGCUCGUAGGCGGCCAACUAAGUCGGACGUGAAAUCCCCAGGCUCAACCUGGGAACUGCGUCCGAUACUGGAUGGCUUGAAUCCGGGAGAGGGAUGCGGAAUUCCAGGUGUAGCGGUGAAAUGCGUAGAUAUCUGGAGGAACACCGGUGGCGAAGGCAGCAUCCUGGACCGGCAUUGACGCUGAGGCGCGAAAGCCAGGGGAGCAAACGGG